AUGCCAUGAUGAAGGCAUUUCUGCAACAACUUCUUGAACCACUCCCAUGCCCCAUAUAAAGAUUCUUCAUCAAGUUGCUGAAAUGAAGUAAUCUCAUUGCGGAGCUU
Molecule: small nucleolar RNA, 107 nt
Organism: Humulus lupulus (European hop)
Lineage: Eukaryota; Viridiplantae; Streptophyta; Magnoliopsida; Rosales; Cannabaceae
Source: RefSeq, a predicted model, not a curated record